AAGUUACUACCAUUUACACACACCAGAAGUUACUACCAUUUACACACACACACACACACACACACCAGAAGUUACUACCAUUUACACACACACACACACACACCAGAAGUUACUACCAUUUACACACACACACACACACACCAGAAGUUACUACCAUUUACACACACACACACACACACACACACACACACACACACACACACACACACACACACACACACACACACACACACACACACACACACACACACACCAGAAGUUACUACCAUUUAUACACACACACACACACACACACACACACACACACACACACACACACACCAGAAGUUACUACCAUUUAUACACACACACACACACACACACACACACACACACACACACACACACACACACACACACACACACACACACACACACACACACACACACACACCAGAAGUUACUACCAUUUACACACACACACACACACACACACACACACACACACACACACACCAGAAGUUACUACCAUUUACACACACACACACACACACACACACACACACACACACACACACCAGAAGUUACUACCAUUUACACACACACACACACACACACACACACACACACACACACACACACACACACACACACACACACACACACACACACACACACACACACACACACACACACACACACACACACACACCAGAAGUUACUACCAUUUACACACACACACACACACACACACACACACACACACACACACACACACACACACACACACACACACACACACACACACACACACCAGAAGUUACUACCAUUUACACACACACACACACACACACACACACACACACACACACCAGAAGUUACUACCAUUUACACACACACACACACACACACACACACACACACACACACCAGAAGUUACUACCAUUUACACACACACACACACACACACACACCAGAAGUUACUACCAUUUACACACACACACACACACACACACACACACACACACACACACACACACACACCAGAAGUUACUACCAUUUACACACACACACACACACACACACACACACACACACACACACACACACACACACACACACACACACACACACACACACACACCAGAAGUUACUACCAUUUACACACACACACACACACACACACACACACACACACACACACACACACACACACCAGAAGUUACUACCAUUUACACACACACACACACACACACACACACACACACACACACACACACACACACACACACACACACACACACACACACACACACACACACACACACACACACCAGAAGUUACUACCAUUUACACACACACACACACACACACACACACACACACACACCAGAAGUUACUACCAUUUACACACACACACACACACACACACACACACACACCAGAAGUUACUACCAUUUACACACACACACACACACACACACACACACACACACACACACACACACACACACACACACACACACCAGAAGUUACUACCAUUUACACACACACACACACACACACACACACACACACACACACACACACACACACCAGAAGUUACUACCAUUUACACACACACACACACACACACACACACACACACACACACACACACACACACACACACACACACACACACACACACCAGAAGUUACUACCAUUUACACACACACACACACACACACACACACACACACACACACACAGACACACACACACCAGAAGUUACUACCAUUUACACACACACACACACACACACACACACACACACACACACACACACACACACACACACACACACACACACACCAGAAGUUACUACCAUUUACACACACACACACACACACACACACACACACACACACACACCAGAAGUUACUACCAUUUACACACACACACACACACACACACACACACACACACACACACACACACACACACACACACACACACACACACACCAGAAGUUACUACCAUUUACACACACAAUCACAAAACAUUUACUUGUUACUACUAGUAAACAUGAACCAAUACUUGUUGAUGUACUUGUAUGUUGUUGUUCCCAUUGCCAGCAGGCUGGAAAUUCGGGUCAAGGGGAUGAUGGAGGGCCUCAUUGAAAAUGUACAGUCUGGGUUUGACUUGUACAAGGCUCCCAUGGAGAAGAUGCUGGCCUCCUAUGACAGAAUGACAACAGACAGCCAGCUAAUCUCUGCACUGGCCACAUUUGGCCGGCAAAGUGCCCCUGCCGGAUCAGUUGCUUGGAGGAUGGCGAGAAGGGGCAUGCAAGCAAGCAUGAAGAUUGGAGUGCAGCCGACAGCUGUGGCUCGUCGGAAGACGCCACUUGGAGGCAGGCCUGCCCUCAUUACUGGGCGGCCAACAAAAAGCUCAAGAAGAGAGCACAACCAUGGAAGGGCAAAGGGCAAUUCACUGCCCAAAAGGCCGGCACCACAUAUUAUAUCCCAGUGUGUCACUGAUUGUGUUGCACUUGGCAAAAAUCCCAGUAAAAUAUAG
Gadus morhua (Atlantic cod) is the source of this 2535-nucleotide long non-coding RNA. The record is from Ensembl. NCBI's taxonomy places the organism in Eukaryota, Metazoa, Chordata, Actinopteri, Gadiformes, Gadidae.